Molecule: ribosomal RNA, 426 nt
Filed under: uncultured bacterium
Lineage: Bacteria
Description: bacterial SSU rRNA
Rfam family: Bacterial small subunit ribosomal RNA
Source: RNAcentral
UGGGGAAUUUUGGACAAUGGGGGCAACCCUGAUCCAGCCAUGCCGCGUGCGGGAAGAAGGCCUUCGGGUUGUAAACCGCUUUUGUCAGGGAAGAAAAGACUCCUACUAAUACUGGGGGUUCAUGCCGGUACCUGAAGAAUAAGCACCGGCUAACUACGUGCCAGCAGCCGCGGUAAUACGUAGGGUGCAAGCGUUAAUCGGAAUUACUGGGCGUAAAGCGUGCGCAGGCGGUUAUGCAAGACAGAUGUGAAAUCCCCGGGCUCAACCUGGGAACUGCAUUUGUGACUGCAUGGCUAGAGUACGGUAGAGGGGGAUGGAAUUCCGCGUGUAGCAGUGAAAUGCGUAGAUAUGCGGAGGAACACCGAUGGCGAAGGCAAUCCCCUGGACCUGUACUGACGCUCAUGCACGAAAGCGUGGGGAGCAAAC